This 72-nucleotide transfer RNA is filed under the name Sus scrofa (pig). It matches the Rfam family "tRNA". From Rfam's summary of the family: Transfer RNA (tRNA) molecules are approximately 80 nucleotides in length. Their secondary structure includes four short double-helical elements and three loops (D, anti-codon, and T loops). Lineage: Eukaryota; Metazoa; Chordata; Mammalia; Artiodactyla; Suidae. The record is from Rfam by way of RNAcentral.
UUCCUGGUGGUCCAUUGGUUACGACUCACCACUUUCACUGCUAUGGCCCAGGUUCAAUCCCUGGUCUGGUAA